UCUCUUGUUUGUUCCAGAGACUUCUUCAGUUUCUCUCUCUUUCUCUCACUCAGUUCUUCAUCAACUUUGCCUUCAAUCCUUGGGUUUUCAUGGUAUCAGAGCGGGAUGAUCCUCGGGUUUAUCUCCAUUACUUGUUAUCGAUUGCGUUGGAAGUUUUAUUGAAGGUUUUUCUCGGAUAUUUGUGAGAGAUUUUGUUUACCGAGAGAACGAUGUAUACUGAACGGAUAAUCGGAGCCUUUACUAUUGUUUGAUGCUUCGAUCUUCACUCAGUGGAUGUUUUGGGUGAUUUUUCGACAUUCCUAACCUUUUUCCGGUGAAUCUUCAGAUUCUAGGGUUUUCGGUGGUUGAACCUAGGGUUUUACUGCUAUCCUAUGGCUCGAUCCUCACUCGGUGGAUGUUUUGGGUGAUUUUCCGACAUCUCUGACCCUAUUCCGGCUGUUGUUUGAUGCUUCGAUCUUCACUCGGUGGAUGUUUUGGGUGAUUUUCCGACAUCCCUGACCUUUUUCCGGUGAUUCUUCAGAUUCUAGAGUUUUCGGUGGUUGAACCUAGGGUUUUACUGCUAUCCUAUGGCUCGAUCCUCACUCGGUGGAUGUUUUGGGUGAUUUUCCGACAUCUCUGACCCUAUUACGGUAAGUUUCCAGUACGGUUUCCGGUGGUUGGACCUAAGGUUUUGGACCUAAGGUUUUAUCUGGCGAUUGAAGGCCGUUCUUCUCCGGUCUCGAAGAAGGAGGGUAACUCUAUCCUUGUUCUAAGUGUUGUAUGUUUUGCAUGUGGGUUCUGAGACUGUUUUUUUUAUUUCAAACUGAUUAUUGUUCAUGGCUUCUAAUAUGAAUGCUAGUACAUCCUCAGUGGACUCCACCAGUCCCCUUUUUGUCUACUCCUCUGAUGUUCCUGGAGGCUCUCUUGUGUCCACUCCCUUCUCGGGGAUGGCUAUGGGGGUUGAAGGAGGAAGAUGAUUGUCGCGUUAUCUGCUAAAAACAAAAUCGAUUUUGUUGAUCGCACCUGUCCCCAGCCAGUCACUAUUGUGACUUAACAAAGACCUGCUAGUACCUCCUCAGUGGACUCUACCAGCCCCCUUUUUGUUUACUCCUCUGGUGUUCCUGGAGUCUCUCUUGUGUCCACUUCCUUCUCAGGCAGUGGUUAUGGGGGUUGGAGGAGGAAAAUGAUUGUCGCGUUAUCUGCUAAAAACAAAAUU
RNAcentral lists this long non-coding RNA (1195 nucleotides) under Nicotiana benthamiana. Its description in RNAcentral is "long non-coding RNA (NBEN_LNC038216)". The record is from RNAcentral. Lineage: Eukaryota; Viridiplantae; Streptophyta; Magnoliopsida; Solanales; Solanaceae.